This 491-nucleotide ribosomal RNA is filed under the name uncultured bacterium. RNAcentral's name for it is "partial 16S ribosomal RNA". It matches the Rfam family "Bacterial small subunit ribosomal RNA", at positions 29 to 507 of the family's 1533-position model. The record is from RNAcentral.
GUGAACGCUGGCGGUAGGCCUAACACAUGCAAGUCGAACGGCAGCACAGUAAGAGCUUGCUCUUACGGGUGGCGAGUGGCGGACGUGUGAGGAAUACAUCGGAAUCUACUUUUUCGUGGGGGAUAACGUAGGGAAACUUACGCUAAUACCGCAUACGACCUACGGGUGAAAGCAGGGGAUCUUCGGACCUUGCGCGAUUGAAUGAGCCGAUGUCGGAUUAGCUAGUUGGCGGGGUAAAGGCCCACCAAGGCGACGAUCCGUAGCUGGUCUGAGAGGAUGAUCAGCCACACUGGAAGUGAGACACGGUCCAGACUCCUACGGGAGGCAGCAGUGGGGAAUAUUGGACAAUGGGCGCAAGCCUGAUCCAGCCAUACCGCGUGGGUGAAGAAGGCCUUCGGGUUGUAAAGCCCUUUUGUUGGGAAAGAAAAGCAGCAGGUUAAUACCCCGCUGUUCUGACGGUACCCAAAGAAUAAGCACCGGCUAACUUCGUG